UCAAUAUAUGUACCAAAAUUGACUUUUAAGGUUUAAUUACCAAUGAUUUAUUAGGGGCUUUAUUUGUGGAACAAAAUAUUUCCAUAUUUUCUUUCCCUACUUUUUUCUCUUUCUUCCAACAGAUUUUUAACCUUAUUAAUUAUCAAGAUUUGUACACAAACAAUGUAGAUUAAAGUCUUUCCUGCUUGAAAAAGUCCGUAUUGAAAAAAUUUGUUCGAGAUUGAUGGAAAUGCCAAAAACAGCCGAAAAAUUAUAGACAGUAAGUUGGAACAGAAGACAAAAGCAAUGACACACAAGAACACAACAAAACAAACCAU
Molecule: long non-coding RNA, 317 nt
Filed under: Nicotiana benthamiana
Lineage: Eukaryota; Viridiplantae; Streptophyta; Magnoliopsida; Solanales; Solanaceae
Description: long non-coding RNA (NBEN_LNC010701)
Source: RNAcentral